Amphimedon queenslandica is the source of this 147-nucleotide long non-coding RNA. RefSeq lists it as uncharacterized. The transcript is spliced from 3 exons. The record is from RefSeq and is a predicted model, not a curated record. NCBI's taxonomy places the organism in Eukaryota, Metazoa, Porifera, Demospongiae, Haplosclerida, Niphatidae.
GGAACAAUAUCUCAAGGAGAAACAGAUCAUUAUUGACGACAAUCGAAAUUUUAUUUCUGAGAAAAACAAAGUUAUAGCCAAACUGUCAUCAAAUGAGAAACAGAUCAUAACUGACCUUAAAGAAAAGGAGUUGUACAUAGCCAAGCU